Molecule: ribosomal RNA, 496 nt
Filed under: uncultured bacterium
Lineage: Bacteria
Description: partial 16S ribosomal RNA
Rfam family: Bacterial small subunit ribosomal RNA
Source: RNAcentral
AUGAACGCUGGCGGCGUGCCUCAUACAUGCCAGUCGAGCGAACGGACGAGAAGCUUGCUUCUCUGAUGUUAGCGGCGGACGGGUGAGUAACACGUGGAUAACCUACCUAUAAGACUGGGAUAACUUCGGGAAACCGGAGCUAAUACCGGAUAAUAUUUUGAACCGCAUGGUUCCAAAGUGAAAGACGGUCUUGCUGUCACUUAUAGAUGGAUCCGCGCUGCAUUAGCUAGUUGGUAAGGUAACGGCUUACCAAGGCAACGAUGCAUAGCCGACCUGAGAGGGUGAUCGGCCACACUGGAACUGAGACACGGUCCAGACUCCUACGGGAGGCAGCAGUAGGGAAUCUUCCGCAAUGGGCGGAAGCCUGACGGAGCAACGCCGCGUGAGUGAUGAAGGUCUUCGGAUCGUAAAACUCUGUUAUUAGGGAAGAACAUAUGUGUAAGUAACUGUGCACAUCUUGACGGUACCUAAUCAGAAAGCCACGGCUAACUACGUG